GAUUCUGGCUCAGGAUGAACGCUAGCGACAGGCUUAACACAUGCAAGUCGAGGGGCAGCAUGAUUUGUAGCAAUACAGAUUGAUGGCGACCGGCGCACGAGUGAGUAACGCGUAUGCAACUUACCUAUCAGAGGGGGAUAGCCCGGCGAAAGUCGGAUUAAUACCCCAUAAAACAGGGGUCCCGCAUGGGAAUAUUUGUUAAAGAUUCAUCGCUGAUAGAUAGGCAUGCG
RNAcentral lists this ribosomal RNA (230 nucleotides) under uncultured bacterium. RNAcentral describes it as "partial 16S ribosomal RNA". It matches the Rfam family "Bacterial small subunit ribosomal RNA", at positions 15 to 235 of the family's 1533-position model. The record is from RNAcentral.